AACACGUGGGUGAUCUGCCUUGCACUCUGGGAUAAGGCUGGGAAACUGGGUCUAAUACCGGAUAUGACCUUCGACUGCAUGGUCGAGGGUGGAAAGAUUUAUCGGUGCAUGAUGAGCCCGCGGCCUAUCAGCUUGUUGGGGGGGUAAUGGCCUACCAAGGCGACGACGGGUAGCCGGCCUGAGAGGGCGACCGGCCACUCUGGGACUGACACACCGCCCACACUCCUACGGGAGGCAGCAGGGGGGAAUAUUGCACAGUGGGCGGAAGCCUGAUGCAGCCACCCCGCGUGAGGGAUGACGGCCUUCGGGUUGUAAACCUCUUUCCACUCCCAAAAAGCGAGAGUGACGGUAGGAAUAUAAAAAGCACCGGCCAACUACGUGCCAGCCCCCGCGGUAAUACGUGGGGUGCGAGCGUUGUCCGGAAUUACUGGGCGUAAAGAGCUUGUAGGCGGUCUGUCACGUCUUCUGUGAAAACUUGAGGCUCAACCUUAAGCUUGCAGGCGAUACGGGCAGACUAGAGUACUUCGGGGGAGACUGGAAUUCCUGGUGUAGCGGUGAAAUGCGCAUAUAUCAGAGAGGAACACCGGUGGCGAACGCGUCUCUCUGGGAAGUAACUGACGCUGAGAAGCGAAAGCGUGGGUAGCGAACAGGAUUAGAUACCCUGGUAGUCCACGCCGUAAACGGUGGGUACUAGGUGUGGGUUUCCUUCCACGGGAUCCGUGCCGUAGCUAACGCAUUAAGUACCCCGCCUGGGGAGUACGGCCGCAAGGCUAAAACUCAAAGGAAUUGACGGGGGCCCGCACAAGCGGCGGAGCAUGUGGAUUAAUUCGAUGCAACGCGAAGAACCUUACCUGGGUUUGACAUACACCGGAAACCUGCAGAGAUGUAGGCCCCCUUGUGGUCGGUGUACAGGUGGUGCAUGGCUGUCGUCAGCUCGUGUCGUGAGAUGUUGGGUUAAGUCCCGCAACGAGCGCAACCCUUAUCUUAUGUUGCCAGCGCGUAAUGGCGGGGACUCGUGAGAGACUGCCGGGGUCAACUCGGAGGAAGGUGGGGACGACGUCAAGUCAUCAUGCCCCUUAUGUCCAGGGCUUCACACAUGCUACAAUGGCCGGUACAGAGGGCUGCGAUACCGUGAGGUGGAGCGAAUCCCUUAAAGCCGGUCUCAGUUCGGAUCGGGGUCUGCAACUCGACCCCGUGAAGUUGGAGUCGCUAGUAAUCGCAGAUCAGCAACGCUGCGGUGAAUACGUUCCCGGGCCUUGUACACACCGCCCGUCACGUCA
This 1280-nucleotide ribosomal RNA is filed under the name Nocardia sp. Its description in RNAcentral is "bacterial SSU rRNA". It matches the Rfam family "Bacterial small subunit ribosomal RNA", at positions 112 to 1404 of the family's 1533-position model. Lineage: Bacteria; Bacillati; Actinomycetota; Actinomycetes; Mycobacteriales; Nocardiaceae. The record is from RNAcentral.